RNAcentral lists this ribosomal RNA (468 nucleotides) under uncultured bacterium. Its description in RNAcentral is "partial 16S ribosomal RNA". It matches the Rfam family "Bacterial small subunit ribosomal RNA", at positions 28 to 507 of the family's 1533-position model. The record is from RNAcentral.
GACGAACGCUGGCGGCGUGCUUAACACAUGCAAGUCGAACGGAAAGGCCCUGCUUUUGUGGGGUGCUCGAGUGGCGAACGGGUGAGUAACACGUGAGUAACCUGCCCUUGACUUUGGGAUAACUUCAGGAAACUGGGGCUAAUACCGGAUAGGAUCUCCUGCUGCAUGGUGGGGGUUGGAAAUUUUCGGCGGUUGGGGAUGGACUCGCGGCUUAUCAGCUUGUUGGUGGGGUAGUGGCUUACCAAGGCUUUGACGGGUAGCCGGCCUGAGAGGGUGACCGGCCACAUGGGGACUGAGAUACGGACCAGACUCCUACGGGAGGCAGCAGUGGGGAAUAUUGCACAAUGGGCGGAAGCCUGAUGCAGCAACGCCGCGUGCGGGAUGACGGCCUUCGGGUUGUAAACCGCUUUCGCCUGUGACGAAGCGUGAGUGACGGUAAUGGGUAAAGAAGCACCGGCUAACUACGUG